GAUGAACGCUGGCGGCGUGCCUAAUACAUGCAAGUCGAGCGAACAGACGAGGAGCUUGCUCCUCUGACGUUAGCGGCGGACGGGUGAGUAACACGUGGAUAACCUACCUAUAAGACUGGGAUAACUUCGGGAAACCGGAGCUAAUACCGGAUAAUAUAUUGAACCGCAUGGUUCAAUAGUGAAAGACGGUUUUGCUGUCACUUAUAGAUGGAUCCGCGCCGCAUUAGCUAGUUGGUAAGGUAACGGCUUACCAAGGCAACGAUGCGUAGCCGACCUGAGAGGGUGAUCGGCCACACUGGAACUGAGACGCGGUCCAGACUCCUACGGGAGGCAGCAGUAGGGAAUCUUCCGCAAUGGGCGAAAGCUUGACGGAGCAACGCCGCGUGAGUGAUGAAGGUCUUCGGAUCGUAAAACUCUGUUAUUAGGGAAGAACAAAUGUGUAAGUAACUAUGCACGUCUUGACGGUACCUAAUCAGAAAGCCACGGCUAACUACGU
Molecule: ribosomal RNA, 496 nt
Filed under: uncultured bacterium
Lineage: Bacteria
Description: partial 16S ribosomal RNA
Rfam family: Bacterial small subunit ribosomal RNA
Source: RNAcentral